UAGGGAAUCUUCCACAAUGGACGCAAGUCUGAUGGAGCAACGCCGCGUGAGUGAAGAAGGUUUUCGGAUCGUAAAGCUCUGUUGUUGGUGAAGAAGGAUAGAGGUAGUAACUGGCCUUUAUUUGACGGUAAUCAACCAGAAAGUCACGGCUAACUACGCGCCAGCAGCCGCGGUAAUACGUAGGUGGCAAGCGUUGUCCGGAUUUAUUGGGCGUAAAGCGAGCGCAGGCGGAAGAAUAAGUCUGAUGUGAAAGCCCUCGGCUUAACCGAGGAACUGCAUCGGAAACUGUUUUUCUUGAGUGCAGAAGAGGAGAGUGGAAUUCCAUGUGUAGCGGUGGAAUGCGUAGAUAUAUGGAAGAACACCAGUGGCGAAGGCGACUCUCUGGUCUGCAACUGACGCUGAGGCUCGAAAGCAUGGGUAGCGAACAGG
This 429-nucleotide ribosomal RNA is filed under the name bacterium. RNAcentral describes it as "partial 16S ribosomal RNA". It matches the Rfam family "Bacterial small subunit ribosomal RNA", at positions 355 to 776 of the family's 1533-position model. The record is from RNAcentral.